AAUGGAGUAAUUUGGGAUUAAAUUAGACAUGUUAGUAAUUUAAUCGGGUGAUAAUACGAAGGCUAAAACCGGAUUUAGAUAGUUACCAGUACAUUUUUGCAUUCCAUAUCAUGUAUUAGUAGUCUAAAUUAGUUUAAUUUCAAUUUAGUACCAAUGUGGUGAAUUUCUCGAAUUUGUACUGUGUUAAAGUGGUGAGUCCUCCGAAAAAGGUAAGGGAAUUGCACUCGAGGAUCAGUAAUCUGAGUACUUCGAAAAUCCCCAUUCUAAACAUUGUGAGUAACCUUACCAUUAUUUUAAUUAUCUAAAGUAUGUUUUUAGUCGGUUUUAGUGAAAUUUUAUGAAAAUAAGUUUAAAUGAUAAAUCUUUGUGUUUUACAAACAAAAUGUGUUUAUAUAAAAAGAUUUUAUAAAUUGUUUUGAAAUUGAAUAAUGAUUUUGAAAAAUAGAGUAAUUAGAGACCACCGGUAUGUUGUAAAUUUAUGAUUGGAAAUUGAUAGCUUAUGUUACAUUGUUAUUAUGUUGGCAUGACUAGCUGGGCUGUGUUUUAUGAAUUGUACGAAUUGUUUUAUUUUAUCCUUGUAGACUGGGUAGUAAAAUAUUAGCCCUGUCAUGCUGUAAAAAUUUUAUUGUAUGGUGGGUUUAGCUUGCUGCAGUAGGCGGAUUCUGUAGACCAGCUUAUUAGAGGGGCACAUAAUCCGGAUAUAUAUAUAUAUGUACCUCGGUCGGAGAGGCGCGUAGGGUAUUUCCUGAGGUAUGGAUAGAAAUCACGUCACGUCGAACCACAUCGUGAUGAUGAAUCUCGCUAACGCCAAGGAACGGCUGUGUUUUUCAAACUAAUAAUUUGAUUACGUGUAUACAAAAUUUUUAACAGCCUUGGUGGACUCGGUUAGAUGCCUCGGUCAAGGUAUCCCUGAGAAUGAUUUUGGUAUGAGCCAAGCUUUUAAAAUACUCAUAAGCCAUCUUGAUUAUUUAAAUGAAAUGAGUAUUUAUGUUAUGAAAAAUAUAUUUAGAUGAAAUGUUUUAAUAGUCUCAUUUUACUCGACUUUAGAUCUUUUAAAUGAUGUUUGUUUACUCACUGGGAUUAUAAAAUCUCACCACUCUCCUUUCCUUCAAUUUCAGGUUCAGAAUAGGUUGUAAAUAGCUGAUUUCAUCGAUGACUACCGUUGGAAUUGCAUUUUCCAAACUAUAGGUUCACAAUCCUCUUUACUUUUGUUUAUUUGGGAAGCCCACUUGUUAUUGUAAAUUAAAUUAAAUACUCUGACUUACUGUAUUACAGUAUGUAUGAAUUUAUUUAACUUUUACGCUACAAAAAUUAUUUACGUAUAAC
Molecule: long non-coding RNA, 1326 nt
Filed under: Theobroma cacao (cacao)
Lineage: Eukaryota; Viridiplantae; Streptophyta; Magnoliopsida; Malvales; Malvaceae
Description: long non-coding RNA (TCAC_LNC002558)
Source: RNAcentral